RNAcentral lists this unclassified non-coding RNA (308 nucleotides) under plant metagenome. RNAcentral's name for it is "partial contains 5.8S ribosomal RNA, internal transcribed spacer 2, and large subunit ribosomal RNA". The stretch from base 1 to 105 matches the Rfam family "5.8S ribosomal RNA", at positions 50 to 154 of the family's 154-position model. The record is from RNAcentral.
GAAAUGCGAUAAGUAGUGUGACUUGCAGAAUUCAGUGAAUCAUCGAAUCUUUGAACGCACAUUGCGCCCUUUGGUAUUCCAAAGGGCAUGCCUGUUCGAGCGUCAUUUGUACCCUCAAGCUUUGCUUGGUGUUGGGCGUCUUGUCUCUAGCUUUGCUGGAGACUCGCCUUAAAGUAAUUGGCAGCCGGCCUACUGGUUUCGGAGCGCAGCACAAGUCGCACUCUCUAUCAGCAAAGGUCUAGCAUCCAUUAAGCCUUUUUUUCAACUUUUGACCUCGGAUCAGGUAGGGAUACCCGCUGAACUUAAGC